CAAGGACGAGCCCACCUUUGUGCGCUACACACCAAAUCCCAGUGCGCCUGGGUACAACCCGAAUGCCAAGCAGCGCAUCAUCCGCAUGGUGGAGCAGCAGGUGGACCCCAUG
RNAcentral lists this non-coding RNA (112 nucleotides) under Fibrocapsa japonica. Lineage: Eukaryota; Raphidophyceae; Chattonellales; Chattonellaceae. The record is from RNAcentral.